UGCCAGCAGCCGCGGUAAAACGUAGGUGGCAAGCGUUGUCCGGAAUUACUGGGUGUAAAGGGAGCGCAGGCGGUUACUUAAGUUGGGUGUAUAAUCUACGGGCUCAACCCGUAUUCGCAUUCAAAACUGAGUAACUUGAGUUAAGUAGAGGUAGGCGGAAUUUCCGGUGUAGCGGUGGAAUGCGUAGAUAUCGGAAGGAACACCAGUGGCGAAGGCGGCCUACUGGGCUUAGACUGACGCUGAGGCUCGAAAGCAUGGGUAGCAAACAGGAUUAGAUA
This 278-nucleotide ribosomal RNA is filed under the name uncultured bacterium. RNAcentral's name for it is "partial 16S ribosomal RNA". It matches the Rfam family "Bacterial small subunit ribosomal RNA", at positions 506 to 784 of the family's 1533-position model. The record is from RNAcentral.